This 336-nucleotide ribosomal RNA is filed under the name uncultured Polaromonas sp. Its description in RNAcentral is "bacterial SSU rRNA". It matches the Rfam family "Bacterial small subunit ribosomal RNA", at positions 1044 to 1382 of the family's 1533-position model. The record is from RNAcentral. Lineage: Bacteria; Pseudomonadati; Pseudomonadota; Betaproteobacteria; Burkholderiales; Comamonadaceae.
CAUGGCUGUCGUCAGCUCGUGUCGUGAGAUGUUGGGUUAAGUCCCGCAACGAGCGCAACCCUUGUCAUUAGUUGCUACAUUCAGUUGGGCACUCUAAUGAGACUGCCGGUGACAAACCGGAGGAAGGUGGGGAUGACGUCAAGUCCUCAUGGCCCUUAUAGGUGGGGCUACACACGUCAUACAAUGGAUGGUACAAAGGGUCGCCAACCCGCGAGGGGGAGCCAAUCCCAUAAAGCCAUUCGUAGUCCGGAUCGCAGUCUGCAACUCGACUGCGUGAAGUCGGAAUCGCUAGUAAUCGUGGAUCAGAAUGUCACGGUGAAUACGUUCCCGGGUCUU